Molecule: non-coding RNA, 72 nt
Organism: Perkinsus marinus ATCC 50983
Lineage: Eukaryota; Perkinsozoa; Perkinsida; Perkinsidae
Source: Rfam
UAUACCUUGGCGCAAUAGAAGCGUGUCGGUUUCCGGAGCCGAAGGUUGCGGGUUCAAGUCCCGCCGGGAUUA